This 373-nucleotide ribosomal RNA is filed under the name uncultured organism. RNAcentral's name for it is "partial 16S ribosomal RNA". It matches the Rfam family "Bacterial small subunit ribosomal RNA", at positions 527 to 896 of the family's 1533-position model. The record is from RNAcentral.
GUAGGUGGCAAGCGUUGUCCGGAAUUAUUGGGCGUAAAGCGCGCGCAGGGCGGUCCUUUAAGUCUGAUGUGAAAGCCCACGGCUCAACCGUGGAGGGUCAUUGGAAACUGGGGGACUUGAGUACAGAAGAGGAAAGCGGAAUUCCAAGUGUAGCGGUGAAAUGCGUAGAGAUUUGGAGGAACACCAGUGGCGAAGGCGGCUUUCUGGUCUGUAACUGACGCUGAGGCGCGAAAGCGUGGGGAGCAAACAGGAUUAGAUACCCUGGUAGUCCACGCCGUAAACGAUGAGUGCUAAGUGUUAGGGGGUUUCCGCCCCUUAGUGCUGCAGCUAACGCAUUAAGCACUCCGCCUGGGGAGUACGGCCGUAAAGGCUG